Molecule: ribosomal RNA, 1417 nt
Rfam family: Bacterial large subunit ribosomal RNA
AACCCUGAGGCGUGAUGACGAUGCACUACGGUGCAGAAGUAGUUGAUGCCCUGCUUCCAGGAAAAUCCUCUAAGCUCCAGGUAACAUUAAAUCGUACCCCAAACCGACACAGGUGGUCAGGUAGAGAAUACCAAGGCGCUUGAGAGAACUCGGGUGAAGGAACUAGGCAAAAUGGUGCCGUAACUUCGGGAGAAGGCACGCUGGCAUGUAGGUGAAGUCCCUUGCGGAUGGAGCUGAAGCCAGUCGAAGAUACCAGCUGGCUGCAACUGUUUAAUAAAAACACAGCACUGUGCAAACACGAAAGUGGACGUAUACGGUGUGACGCCUGCCCGGUGCUGGAAGGUUAAUUGAUGGGGUCAGCCGCAAGGCGAAGCUCUUGAUCGAAGCCCCAGUAAACGGCGGCCGUAACUAUAACGGUCCUAAGGUAGCGAAAUUCCUUGUCGGGUAAGUUCCGACCUGCACGAAUGGCGUAAUGAUGGCCAGGCUGUCUCCACCCGAGACUCAGUGAAAUUGAACUCGCUGUGAAGAUGCAGUGUACCCGCGGCAAGACGGAAAGACCCCGUGAACCUUUACUAUAGCUUGACACUGAACAUUGAGCCUUGAUGUGUAGGAUAGGUGGGAGGCUUUGAAGCGUGGACGCCAGUCUGCGUGGAGCCAUCCUUGAAAUACCACCCUUUAAUGUUUGAUGUUCUAACUCGGCCCCGUGAUCCGGGGUGAGGACAGUGUCUGGUGGGUAGUUUGACUGGGGCGGUCUCCUCCCAAAGAGUAACGGAGGAGCACGAAGGUUAGCUAAUCACGGUCGGACAUCGUGAGGUUAGUGCAAAGGCAUAAGCUAGCUUGACUGCGAGAGUGACGGCUCGAGCAGGUACGAAAGUAGGUCUUAGUGAUCCGGUGGUUCUGAAUGGAAGGGCCAUCGCUCAACGGAUAAAAGGUACUCCGGGGAUAACAGGCUGAUACCGCCCAAGAGUUCAUAUCGACGGCGGUGUUUGGCACCUCGAUGUCGGCUCAUCACAUCCUGGGGCUGAAGUAGGUCCCAAGGGUAUGGCUGUUCGCCAUUUAAAGUGGUACGCGAGCUGGGUUUAGAACGUCGUGAGACAGUUCGGUCCCUAUCUGCCGUGGGCGUUGGAAGAUUGAGAGGGGUUGCUCCUAGUACGAGAGGACCGGAGUGAACGCACCACUGGUGUUCGGGUUGUCAUGCCAAUGGCAUUGCCCGGUAGCUAAGUGCGGAAAAGAUAAGCGCUGAAAGCAUCUAAGCGCGAAACUUGCCUCAAGAUGAGUCUUCCCUGGGCCUUCAAGGCCCCUGAAGGAACGUUUAAGACUAAGACGUUGAUAGGCUGGGUGUGUAAGUGCAGCGAUGCAUUGAGCUAACCAGUACUAAUGAUCCGUGAGGCUUAACCUUACAACACCGAAGGUGUUU